Small nucleolar RNA from Gastrolobium bilobum, 107 nucleotides. NCBI's taxonomy places the organism in Eukaryota, Viridiplantae, Streptophyta, Magnoliopsida, Fabales, Fabaceae. The record is from RefSeq and is a predicted model, not a curated record.
ACUCCAUGGUUAGGACAUUUUCUGAUAAUGUCCUUAUACCUCUCCCAUGCUUCAUAGAGAUUCUCUCCAUAAAACAUUCUGAAAUUAGAGAGCUCUGCUCUAACAUU